UACGUAGGGUCCAAGCGUUAUCCGGAAUCACUGGGCGUAAAGCGUGCGUAGGUGGACGUUUAAGUGUGGUGUUAAAUCGUGUGGCUCAACCAUAUCGAUGCAUCGCAUACUGGACAUCUAGAGGACAGCAGAGGCAAGUGGAAUUUGUAGUGUAGCAGUGAAAUGCGUAGAUAUUACAAGGAACACCAAUGGCGAAGGCAGCUUGCUGGGCUACUCCUGACACUGAGGUACGAAAGCGUGGGGAGCGAACAGG
RNAcentral lists this ribosomal RNA (253 nucleotides) under uncultured bacterium. RNAcentral's name for it is "partial 16S ribosomal RNA". It matches the Rfam family "Bacterial small subunit ribosomal RNA", at positions 524 to 776 of the family's 1533-position model. The record is from RNAcentral.